RNAcentral lists this ribosomal RNA (429 nucleotides) under Chloroflexota bacterium. RNAcentral describes it as "Chloroflexi bacterium partial 16S ribosomal RNA". It matches the Rfam family "Bacterial small subunit ribosomal RNA", at positions 355 to 776 of the family's 1533-position model. The record is from RNAcentral. Lineage: Bacteria; Bacillati; Chloroflexota.
UGGGGAAUAUUGCACAAUGGGCGCAAGCCUGAUGCAGCCAUGCCGCGUGUAUGAAGAAGGCCUUCGGGUUGUAAAGUACUUUCAGCGGGGAGGAAGGGAGUAAAGUUAAUACCUUUGCUCAUUGACGUUACCCGCAGAAGAAGCACCGGCUAACUCCGUGCCAGCAGCCGCGGUAAUACGGAGGGUGCAAGCGUUACUCGGAAUUACUGGGCGUAAAGCGCACGCAGGCGGUUUGUUAAGUCAGAUGUGAAAUCCCCGGGCUCAACCUGGGAACUGCAUCUGAUACUGGAAAGCUUGAGUCUCGUAGAGGGGGGUAGAAUUCCAGGUGUAGCGGUGAAAUGCGUAGAGAUCUGGAGGAAGACCGGUGGCGAAGGCGGCCCCCUGGACGAAGACUGACGCUCAGGUGCGAAAGCGUGGGGAGCAAACAGG